Molecule: long non-coding RNA, 514 nt
Filed under: Homo sapiens (human)
Lineage: Eukaryota; Metazoa; Chordata; Mammalia; Primates; Hominidae
Description: HSALNT0287459
Source: RNAcentral
GGGCAACAUAUCCCAUUUACCUUGACAUGGAGGAGGUCUGCUGGUGCCAUUGAAGCCUGGAAAAUUUGGCUCAUCAUAGCACACCAGCUCAGCAUGGAUAUUGUUUGAAGAAAGCAGACAGCUUCAGGAUGGAGUCAUGAUCUGUCCCAGGCUGAAGUACAGUGGCACGAUCAUAGCUCACUGCAGCCUCAAAGGCCUGGGCUCAACGGAUCCUUCCUCCUCAGCCUCUUGAAUAGCAGAUUUUAUACACAUCUGCAAAGUCUUUGGCCCUAUCCACCCUUCCUCUUGACUCUGCACUGGCCUUAGGCACACUGCAUGACUUUCCAGGCUGGGCCAAUAAAAGCCAUGCAGCUUCCAUUUGGUUCUCUUUGGUUGCUUGUUCAUCCCUCUGGAGAUGUUUCUUAUGAGAACCCAGAAGCCAUGCUAUAAGAAGCCACAAGGAGAGGCCAUGUAUAGAAACUCCAGUCAACAGUUCCAGAUGAACCUGUCCUUCAACACUCAGAGCCAAGCUGCC